Molecule: long non-coding RNA, 212 nt
Filed under: Elaeis guineensis (African oil palm)
Lineage: Eukaryota; Viridiplantae; Streptophyta; Magnoliopsida; Arecales; Arecaceae
Description: long non-coding RNA (EGUI_LNC068558)
Source: RNAcentral
UUUUUGAGUACCUUAUCUCCACAUCUCGUAAGAUCUUAUUUGCAUGGUAGAUUGGUUUUUGAGUUCUUACAUCUUCUUGGCCAAGUAUCAAACUAACAACAACAGGUGAGAUCAAUAAAUACACAUAUAAUUCCUCAUCUGCCAUUGAUUUGGAAAGCAGUGAGGGUGUUUAAAGGUACUUCUUGAGAUCCUCAAACAUAGCUUGGUACUCC